CACACAGCCAAAGCUACAUUGGAGUGGCUAAGGAACAAAAAGUUCUAUCUGUCUCCUGGUGAACUACCAUGUGGUAGUGCCCUGCAGUGGAGCGUCCUGAUUACUGAAAGGCGUGAGGGUUCUAAUGUACAACAAAUGGAGUUCCGAGUACUCGGCGGGCUAAUGUAAUAAUACACAUAGACAGGUAACAAUGGUCCAGGAGCUGCUGCUUUACAUUCUUCUGAAUAAGACAUCCAGUGAAGGUGACUGGCAUACCCCAUUACAAUAACAAGACAGAUCUCAGCGCUGUUAGUCUGCAGUUAGGCAUUAGUUAUGUAUUGUUUUCCAUGUAAUGAUCUCAUUCCCUGGGCUGGACGGUCUAUUCAGUAACUUUUUAAAUACACAUGUAUCCACCUCGGGCAAACAUUAGUCUGGUGGCUUGUUAAAGAUAUAGAAACUGACAAACGGUGCUCUGAACAAUAAUAAAAAAAGCUCUUACACUAAA
Polyodon spathula (Mississippi paddlefish) is the source of this 484-nucleotide long non-coding RNA. RefSeq lists it as uncharacterized. The record is from RefSeq and is a predicted model, not a curated record. The transcript has 2 exons. NCBI's taxonomy places the organism in Eukaryota, Metazoa, Chordata, Actinopteri, Acipenseriformes, Polyodontidae.